RNAcentral lists this ribosomal RNA (370 nucleotides) under uncultured bacterium. Its description in RNAcentral is "bacterial SSU rRNA". It matches the Rfam family "Bacterial small subunit ribosomal RNA", at positions 527 to 896 of the family's 1533-position model. The record is from RNAcentral.
AGAGGGUGCGAGCGUUAAUCGGAAUUACUGGGCGUAAAGCGUGCGUAGACGGCUAUCUAAGUCGGGUGUGAAAGCCCAGGGCUCAACCUGGGAAUUGCAUUCGAGACUGAAUAGCUAGGGUACGGUAGAGGGAAGCGGAAUUUCCGGUGUAGCGGUGAAAUGCGUAGAUAUCGGAAGGAACAUCAGUGGCGAAAGCGGCUUCCUGGACCAGUACCGACGUUCAGGCACGAAAGCGUGGGGAGCAAACAGGAUUAGAUACCCUGGUAGUCCACGCCAUAAACGAUGAGGACUAGACGUUGGAGGGGUAAGCCUUUCAGUGUCGUAACUAACGCGCUAAGUCCUCCGCCUGGGGAGUACGGCCGCAAGGUUG